AUGUAUCAUUUACGCCAAAUUUUAGAAAUAAAAGCACUGUUCUACAAUCUGUGCUAAAAUCAUUUUCAUUUAUUAAAAUCUAAAAAUGACAUAACUUGCAUGUUCUCUUGUGGAACAAAUUGCAAAUGGAUUUCACAGUGUUUCAUCUCAGACCUCUGUGGCCUUUUUAGGCCUUAGCCUACACCAGCCCAGUUUUAAACUUUUUAUUUCGUUUAUUUCAAUUUAUUUAAAGAUAACUUUUACAGCACAGCGCAGAUCCUAACCCAAUGCUCCAGAGCAUAUUUUACUAAUUUAAUUCAGACUAUGAAGGAACCGGAGACCUGGGGAAUGGUUAGUCUCACUAAAGGAUUUGGACAGAUUCUCCUCGUGUCUGCUGUUGUCAGAAGCAGACAGGGAUGUUGGAGAAGCUGGUCCUCCGUGCAGCAGCCCGGGCCUCCGCUGCAGGGCUGCAGGUUGCACGGCCUGACUGAAGGUGCUUUUUGGCUGCGCGGUGGUCACCGUGCGGCGGGAUGCGCAUGCAGGCCUCAAGGCCUCUACGCGGCUGCAGUUCCACCAUGACGCCGUUAGGUGGCGUCUGACUGACAUUCAUGGAAAGAAAUGUGUCAAAUCUGUGUCCGCUUUGUGUGCAGUUAGCCAGGAACAAUGGGUUUGUACACACAUCAUUUAAUGAUUUAGGCCGCUUUAUUUAAUCACUUUCUCUAAUCAAAACUUCAAACGAUUCCACUCCGCGUGCUUCUGAAGGGAUUUCCUGACUUUCGUCCAUAACACAGAAAUAUGCAUCAAUGCUUUUCUGCCAAAGAAAAAACGUUUUUUUCUUUCCCAACAAGUGAAAGUGGAGCCGAUGCGCCAACAGCUCCAGAACCCACAGACGUCUUCUGUCCAACACUCCACUCUCUUCGUGGUUUAAAUGAGGACUGGGUCCAGCGAGCACGCGCAUUGGACAAAUCCAUGGAUUAUUUUACCCUGGCGCUUGACGUCAGCGCGCAAACAUUCACGCAACCUUCAGGAGCUCCUGCUCCAUGCGGCGUCGGCUCUUCAGGCGCUGUUCUUUGCACCUGCAGGGAUCUGUUGGUCCUGGGAAAGUCCUCGAUCUGCGCUCUCAAACCCGCGCUUGGCACAGAUGUUCAUCAUGACCCAGCGAGGAAAGCGCAUGACGUCAUGUAACGCAGGAGCCCAGCACCAAACGAUGCCCCUUCUUCUUUUCGGGAUGUUGCGGAGCUGCGGCACGUCGUCACGCCGCUGCUGCUGCUCCGCUUUCAUCGUACCGCUGUCUCCACGGGCAGCAGACGCGCGGGGAUCCCAUCACGCGUGAAAUGACUAAGCUGCUUCUGGGUUGGCUCCAUGUUUUCGCAGGAUGUGGUCACAGGUGCACCCAGAAGAAGGUGUUCCGCGCAGCAUCAGGACCUCUGGUUGGAGCUGGGGAGCUCUGACUGACUGAGGUUGGGAUCACGUGAGGACAGAGAGACCCGGCUUUUUUCCUCCGAGGUCUAUGUGGUUCCCAGCUCCACCCCCCAGUUAUGCCCCACCAGCACGCAGGACACAGGCGGCACGUGGCUUCUCACGUCCAUCAAAUGCUGGCAGCCUGCGGAGAAGAGCAGAACCUUUGCGCAAGGAGAACGACGGAGUUCGCAUUUGGACGAACGCGUGAGGCAAAUUAUGCACACCAACAGCUGACAGUCUAGGCGUGUGCGUGGCGUUUGCGUGAGCCUGCGUGAGCGUUUGUAAAAACAAGAUGAAGUGAAAGGAGAGAGAGGCGGAGCGGCUGCUCCCGGCGCACUGCCCGCCAGAUGAGGCCGGACGGGACGCACGGACGGAUGGAGGCGGUUUCUUCGUGAGCUGCGUGACGGCAGAGCCCAGCAAAGGUUUCCAUGAGCAACGAGAAACAAGAGUUUGUGUAUGGAAUCCACUCACUGAUUAUCAGCGGGACUGUUGGAAGCUAUGGCUGAAGGCUGACUCCAAAACCUGAAAGGACCUGAAGUGGACGUGAAGGAGCGACAGACUAUGCAGUCUUGGAAACGCCAAUACGAUGAUGAAAAGCCGCCGUUCCACUGAGCCUUGAAAAGAAAGCAAACAGCCUGUAGCCCAUUUUUUGAAUGUCAUAAGUUCUGGCUUCAUAUAGAAAAUGUCGCGUCCACGUCCUUACAGUCCAAGCCAGAGUGAGCCAAAAGUCACUUUCACAAAGGGCUGCCGGAGUCCAUCCCGGCCCCUUGUGGUCGGAGGUGGGGUCACAUCCUGGACAGGUCGCCAUAUGUCCUCCAUCAACAGGAAACGCCACAAGAACAUGUUGAAAACCCCAAACACAGUUUUCAUUCUAGUGGGUCUCUAAGCAGUUUUUUGCUGCCAUGAAUAUUUGUAUUUUAAUAAACUGUUGAGUUUAAAAAACAAAACCUGGUUUUUCUUCAGCUGAACAGGUCUGUGAAACCCACCCAUGUAAGUGUUGCCUCCUGCCCCCCUCCUACCCCCUGGUCUCCGUGAACUUGGCAGCCCUCUUGACACUCAAUAAAGUCUGUUUUUUAACCCACCGAAAGCCGGGUGGAGGGGUUCAGAACAUGGGUGGGUGGCGCCGAUGGGGAGCAUGUGGCCUGUAUUUAAAAAGUCUUAGAACCUGGAGCCCAGUGUUUCAUGAUAACUGCAGCAAUGCCAUUGAAUUUGGAUGGAAGGAGCAGAAGGUUCACAGGACCCGAGCCAUUCUCAUGCAAACUCUGUCAGGGGCUUCUCUUCUGCUGUCCACCCACCGAGCACUGGCCCACCCCCGUCUUCCACAUGCUUUUAAACGGGCACAGCCCACUGAAACAGGGUUCUCCCUUUGAAAUGUGUCCGAUGAGUAAAACUUAUUGUUCAUUCAAAAUGUGUCCUGUUUGCUUGAAAGUCUUAAAAAUAUAAAAAAGGUCAUGCAGCAAAACCUGCAGAGUAUCUGCACUUUCCACACAAAACAGAAUCACAACAUUUAAAAAAGGUUUAAAAAUCCUUUAAGCCUAGAGCUUUAUUAACAAGAAAGGGUUUUGCAGUUUGCGUUAACUCAUAUUAUCUGUAACUUCCUGUGACCCUGACAGAGCCUAGAUGGCAAACACUGAGUUUUCCUUUUCUCACUGUCACCAUCACAUUUUCAUGGAAGCAUAAAUUAGAUUUGAAACACAAUCAUUUUGAAAUGAACCAUCUUUUUUGGUGAAGAGCACGUUGUAUGAAAAGUGUGAUGUAAAUAAAGACGGAGUGAUUGACACAAGCCUAUA
Molecule: long non-coding RNA, 3230 nt
Organism: Oryzias latipes (Japanese medaka)
Lineage: Eukaryota; Metazoa; Chordata; Actinopteri; Beloniformes; Adrianichthyidae
Source: RefSeq, a predicted model, not a curated record